RNAcentral lists this ribosomal RNA (497 nucleotides) under uncultured bacterium. RNAcentral's name for it is "partial 16S ribosomal RNA". It matches the Rfam family "Bacterial small subunit ribosomal RNA", at positions 28 to 507 of the family's 1533-position model. The record is from RNAcentral.
GACGAACGCUGGCGGCGUGCCUAAUACAUGCAAGUAGAACGCUGAAGAGAGGAGCUUGCUCUUCUUGGAUGAGUUGCGAACGGGUGAGUAACGCGUAGGUAACCUGCCUUGUAGCGGGGGAUAACUAUUGGAAACGAUAGCUAAUACCGCAUAACAAUGGAUGACACAUGUCAUUUAUUUGAAAGGGGCAAUUGUUCCACUACAAGAUGGACCUGCGUUGUAUUAGUUAGUAGGUGAGGUAAUGGCUCACCUAGGCGACGAUACAUAGCCGACCUGAGAGGGUGAACAGCCACACUGGGACUGAGAAACGGCCCAGACUCCUACGGGAGGCAGCAGUAGAGAAUCUUCGGCAAUGGGGGCAACCCUGACCGAGCAACGCCGCGUGAGUGAAGAAGGUUUUCGGAUCGUAAAGCUCUGUUGUAAGUCAAGAACGGGUGUGAGAGUGGAAAGUUCACACUGUGACGGUAGCUUACCAGAAAGGGACGGCUAACUACGUG